AUAAUAUGAUGAGUAAAUAACUUCAGGUCCGUGUUUCUGAUACACAUGAUAACAAUGAAGUUUCUGAUAUU
Molecule: small nucleolar RNA, 71 nt
Organism: Hydra vulgaris (swiftwater hydra)
Lineage: Eukaryota; Metazoa; Cnidaria; Hydrozoa; Anthoathecata; Hydridae
Product: small nucleolar RNA SNORD18
Source: RefSeq, a predicted model, not a curated record